GGAGGUUUGGCAGAGUGGUUUAAUGCACCGGUCUUGAAAACCGACGUAGGUUGAUAGCCUACCCAGAGUUCGAAUCUCUGAGCCUCCGCCA
This 91-nucleotide transfer RNA is filed under the name Cardiobacteriaceae bacterium. Its description in RNAcentral is "tRNA-Ser". It matches the Rfam family "tRNA". Rfam says of the family: Transfer RNA (tRNA) molecules are approximately 80 nucleotides in length. Their secondary structure includes four short double-helical elements and three loops (D, anti-codon, and T loops). Further hydrogen bonds mediate the characteristic L-shaped molecular structure. tRNAs have two regions of fundamental functional importance: the anti-codon, which is responsible for specific mRNA codon recognition, and the 3' end, to which the tRNAs corresponding amino acid is attached (by aminoacyl-tRNA synthetases). tRNAs cope with the degeneracy of the genetic code in two manners: having more than one tRNA (with a specific anti-codon) for a particular amino acid; and 'wobble' base-pairing, i.e. permitting non-standard base-pairing at the 3rd anti-codon position. The record is from RNAcentral. Lineage: Bacteria; Pseudomonadati; Pseudomonadota; Gammaproteobacteria; Cardiobacteriales; Cardiobacteriaceae.